GACGAACGCUGGCGGCGUGCCUAAUACAUGCAAGUCGAACGAAGCUGUUUUAACUGGUGCUUGCACCGACUUAAACAACUGAGUGGCGAACGGGUGAGUAACACGUGGGUAACCUGCCCCAAAGCGGGGGAUAACAUUUGGAAACAGAUGCUAAUACCGCAUAACCACAGAAACCACAUGGUUUCUGUGUCAAAGAUGGUUUCGGCUAUCACUUUGGGAUGGACCCGCGGCGUAUUAGCUAGUUGGUAAGGUAAUGGCUUACCAAGGCAAUGAUGCGUAGCCGAACUGAGAGGUUGAGCGGCCACAUUGGGACUGAGACACGGCCCAAACUCCUACGGGAGGCAGCAGUAGGGAAUCUUCCACAAUGGACGAAAGUCUGGUGGAGCAACGCCGCGUGAGUGAAGAAGGUUUUCGGAUCGUAAAACUCUGUUGUCAAAGAAGAACGUGUGCGAGAGUAACUGCUCGUGCAGUGACGGUAUCUGGCCAGAAAGCCACGGCUAACUACGUGCCAGCCGCCGCAGUAA
This 524-nucleotide ribosomal RNA is filed under the name uncultured bacterium. RNAcentral's name for it is "partial 16S ribosomal RNA". It matches the Rfam family "Bacterial small subunit ribosomal RNA", at positions 28 to 523 of the family's 1533-position model. The record is from RNAcentral.